AAGUAACAGAGGGAAGAAAUGUUGACACUGCACUCCAGGAAACCAGACUCUGUUCAGGGGAAGAGCAGGAUCUUGCGCACUUCUUUAAUAGUCUUCAACGUUUUCAGCUGCUGUGCAUGCAUUUGUACUCAGCGCUUCUAUAAAUCUUUUCCUGACUGAAGUGGAAUCUUAACCUAUGAUUGUCAAGUUGUGCAAGCAAGAUAUUGAUCUUGGACUACAGUAAAGCAACUACUAUACAAGAGGACAGCAGGAUCUGGGCCAAUAGCUUGAUAUUGCCAGUUUCAUUGAUACAGGACAGAAUGUCAACAUAUUUCACUGUGUGGGUGUUUUUUGGAAUACUUCUGCUGGCUGUAGGGGCAGCUGAUUGUUCAAAGAGGGAAGCGUUGAUGAGACCGCUCCCCGGCAAGGCGUCGGUGACAGUAACAAACUGUUUGAUGGAGUGCACUGGGAUGAUAUACUUUAAGAAAUUGCAACUUCAGGACAAUCAUAAUAUACGGCUUUCAGAUAGCACAGAAGGAGACCUCGGGGAAUAUUGCUGGUCUACAGAGCUCAAGUGCAACAUUGGAGAGGGCUUUGUGCAUGCCUACGUGGUGUUGCCUGUGGAUGGAUCUGCAGUUGGCCAUGAGCAGCUAGAAGUCAAAGCCAAUGUCCCAUCUGCCACCACACUGCUCGCACACAACAGCCCCACGACAAUCGCAGACAACUGUGGCCUUCGAUACGACGUCACGCCGCACUUCAGCACAGAGCCGGCGGGGACGUCCUUCUGCGUACAGAUUGCCACCCAGGAAGAUGUCCUAGGGGACAAAGUUCUGAAAUGUCCUCCUUUUCUGGUCACUUUCUGGGCGAGAAAACCAAAUCAGCCCAACCAAGAAGGUGGUGGAUAAAAUCUCAGUGAUGGAAGACGUUCUCAGAUCUUUUGCUUAAGUGAAAUUGCUAAUACCAUAAUGUACGAAUACUCAGUCCUGCAUUGAAAAUGUUACUUUAUUAAAAUGAUAUAGGUAUAAUCAGGAAAAUGUACUCAAUGCAGAAAAGUGGCCCCUGUGACUGUUAUAUUAUUAUACGUCAUAUCAUUGUAUUGUUAUUACUCAUGCAUUAAUGUGUAAGUGGCCCUGUACAAUUGUAGUUGGUUGAUUUUUAACAAUUAUAUAAAAGGCUGCAACUUUUCAUUAUUUUCAUUAUGGAUUAAUCUCCUGAUCAUUUUAUCGAUUAAUCGAUUGAUUGUUUGGUUUGAAAAACUCCGGUGAUGCUGACAGAAGGCACAAAGGUAGGCAGGCAGGUAGCUAGACCGAAUGAAAUGAUUGGACGGAGUUGUUACAGUCCUGCAACAGUAUUCUUUUAUUAGAGCAUUUCAGUUAUUGAUUGCUGUCCGGAAGACUAUUUCAACAAAUGUAACAAAAACAAUUGUAAAAUUACCCACCCUAGCUUUAUCAUACUAAGUUAAGUACUUGCAGGACAUUGUGAAAAUGAUAUGGAUAUAUAUAUAUAUAUAUAUAUAUAUAUAUAUAUAUCUCCUUUCAUUGUGAACAUUAGUUGUCUAAUGAUGCAGUUUUAUUUUUUAUAAGGACAUUUUAGAAUCAGAAUAAAUGAUUUUUCAUUGGAUUUAUGUGAUUUUAAACAUUUUGUUUCUUGUUUUAGUUGUGAAGGUAUUUGUUGACAUUUUAUCAGAGAAGUGGAUGCGGAGCACUUUGCGUGUAUGAACCCAGCUUUGUUAUCAAAGGCAAACCGAGUGGUGCAAAAGUUAUCUGUUAAAUGAAUAAUGUAAAUACAAGAUGUUCAUGGUUGUAAGUGUUUAUGGCAAUAUUAAAUCAUUUUAUUUUCCUUUUUCAGUCACAUCUUUAUUGUGCUUGUGUGUUUGACUGUUGAGAAACAUUCAGUGAUAUUAAUGUAACCUUAUGUAGAACAAGAACCUAUUAUUGCAAACCCAAUUCCCAUUACAACUAAUUGCAAAACCCAAUAUCAGUUAAUAUACACUUAAACUGUGAGCAAAUGAGUUUGGACUAAUUGUGCUGGGAUCUUUUGAUUUAUAAUACUAUAUUUAAAUUACUGCUACUCUAUGCAGCAGUGUGCAUCCUGUGUGUGUUUAUCUGGUUGUAUGUGUACAAUCAUGCCAAUAUGUGCUGCUCUGCUUAUCAUACAAUCUACAUACAUUUACCAAAAACAAUUUCCACCUGUUCUUGGUUGUGCAUUAGUUGUCUAUUCCACUGGUUUAGACAAUUGUCUAGUGUGCAAUUACCAAUGCCUUGUGCAAUAUUCACUUUUUAUAACUUUUGCAAUUACACUAUCAUGUGCAAUAUUCACUCCUACACUUUUUUACUUAUAUUACUUAUAUUACUGUUACUGUAUUUUUAUUCUAUUUAAUUGUUACUUGUCACUUUACUCUCUUUGCUGUAACAACAUACAUUUCCCCGUCGUGGGACAAAUAAAGGAUUUCUGGUUCCCAACCUGGGGGUCUCGACCUACUUGAGGGGUCGCCUAAGCUUCACAGGAAGUUGA
RNAcentral lists this long non-coding RNA (2493 nucleotides) under Cottoperca gobio. Its description in RNAcentral is "lncRNA (ENSCGOG00000006907.1)". The record is from RNAcentral. Lineage: Eukaryota; Metazoa; Chordata; Actinopteri; Perciformes; Bovichtidae.